This is a non-coding RNA of Chrysemys picta bellii (western painted turtle), 1794 nucleotides long. Lineage: Eukaryota; Metazoa; Chordata; Testudines; Emydidae. The record is from RefSeq and is a predicted model, not a curated record.
GCUAGAUCUUCCCCCGCGGCGCGCCUGGCCCCGGAUCGGGGAGGGAGAGGUGAAGGGGGGACAUGGCAGCAGGCGGACGCUGGGUGUAGGAGGUGGCAGCACAAACACGUCUACGGGAGGCAGGCGCCCUCCGCUGCGGCCCCGAUCCUGCUUCCCGUUGGCUUCGCCGGCAGCAGGAUCCAGACCCAGCCGAGGGAGAUGCCCCCGGACCCCCGCUGCUUUCGGUGCACGGCCCCCCGGGGGCAGGCGCGGAGGUUUCUCAGUCCGAGCUGGCCUCGGUGCGUUUGUGUGAGGUGCAUCGCUCAGGGCCCCUUGCGCGCUGCAUUUCUGCCCGGCUGAGCUCUGUGACAGGCCAGGGGCACCCCCCGGCCUGCAGCCCCGACCAGGCGCCGAGCUGCACUUUCAAAUGCAAAACCCUGGCACCGGUGUCACCUUAGCCGGACUUUGCCGCCUCACAUAACGUGCCAGGAGGUGUCCGGGCUUCCCAGCGCCAGGCACUGGGUUCUGAAUGAGAGAGGCUCCUUCCGCCUCGGCACACGCCCGGGGGAAUCAGAAGUGACAGGAUCCGCAGCCUGUGGUGGCACGAAGGCUCCGCUCUCAAUGAAAUAAUGAUGUUCACUGACAUAUAGCGAGUGCCUCCACGCGGAGCCAUGGGGGAGCAUGAUGCUAGCUUCGCCUCGGCUCACCCCGCCUCCCGGCUGUUAGCUAGCGGCUUCCAGGACUUGCACAUCUUUUAAGAACGACGCUAAACAGUAGGACAUGUGAGAAUCAUGAGUCCUGGAACUAAUUCCAUACAAAUCCAUCCAUCGCGAUUUCCAGAAAGAAAAAGGAGAAGUAAAGACUUGUCCGUUGUCACUCUGUAAACUCCAUGUCCACAUCCCCCCACUCCAAGGAAAGGAGCAGCUAAAGGCACAAGCUUAGCUCACAGUUGCUGAGGAGAUGACACAACACACUCUUUCUUUUUAACUCCCGCUUCAAUUUUUUCUGGUUCUUGGAGAAUGUGGAGUGCAGCUUUCCCAGGGCUGGUUGUUGGAGUUACGCUAUUAUAAACAGUAAACAAUCAACACAGGCCGUCCAAGGGCCACGUGACGUGUAAGCAAUUCCCCCAUGAUCUAUUAGAAAUAUUGUAAUUGGGGCAGAAAUCAUGUUUUUAGUGACUGCUCUGCCUCUAUGCAUCAGUCACUGCUGAGGAUUAAUGGCUGCUGAUGUUGCUGUGCUAGACAAUUCUGACUAACCCUACUGAAAAUAUAUAAUUCCUUGAAUGUAACCUAGGAAAGCAAUGCAGUAGGCUGGUCUAGGCCAAAUGGGCAUUGCUGUAGGCUCCCCCCACUUCUCCCCCCCAUUUUUUUAUGUACAGAGAUGACACUGAGCAGGGACAGGCUGUAUCUGGAAAUCUUCGCACUCUUUUUCCUUUUUGUGGCUAGACACAGCUCCCCAGCCGGGGAUUCCCCUGGGAUUGUCCAAGGUUCACAGUAUCCUCUAACUAGGAUCAGGCUAGAGAAAUGGUUUUCAGUCACACUAUUAACCACAGCCCUGUAGAUCUCGGUCUGAUUUAACAUCUCAAAGCUGAGACAGGAGAGCACCAAAAUCCUGUGUUCCUCUGUCAUUUGCCCUACCAAAUUCACAGCCCUGAAAAAUGCGUCAUGGACCGUGAGAUCUGGUGUCCCACCCGUGAGAUCUGGUCUUUUGGGUGCUUUUACCCUAUACUAGAACAGAUUUCAUGGGAGAGACCAGCAUUUCUCAAAUUGGGGGUCCUGACCCAAGAGGGAGUUGCAGGAGGGUCACAAGGUUAUU